This 253-nucleotide ribosomal RNA is filed under the name uncultured bacterium. RNAcentral's name for it is "partial 16S ribosomal RNA". It matches the Rfam family "Bacterial small subunit ribosomal RNA", at positions 524 to 776 of the family's 1533-position model. The record is from RNAcentral.
UACGGAGGGUGCAAGCGUUAUCCGGAUUCACUGGGUUUAAAGGGUGCGUAGGCGGGUUGGUAAGUCCGUGGUGAAAUCUCCGGGCUUAACCCGGAAACUGCCAUUGAUACUAUUUGUCUUGAAUACUGUGGAGGUCAGCGGAAUAUGUCAUGUAGCGGUGAAAUGCUUAGAUAUGACAUAGAACACCAAUUGCGAAGGCAGCUGGCUACACAAAUAUUGACACUGAGGCACGAAAGCGUGGGGAUCAAACAGG